Small nuclear RNA from Melitaea cinxia (Glanville fritillary), 131 nucleotides. RefSeq annotates it as U4 spliceosomal RNA. The transcript has a single exon. NCBI's taxonomy places the organism in Eukaryota, Metazoa, Arthropoda, Insecta, Lepidoptera, Nymphalidae. The record is from RefSeq and is a predicted model, not a curated record.
AACUUUGCGCAGAGGCAUUAUCGUAACCAAUGAUGUUAAUCCGAGGGGCGAUCAUUGUUAGUUGGUUUUAAGGUAAUGGGUGCUAUUAUUGAAACUAAUUAUAUAAUCAUAGUUUGAAAGUUUCUGUAAGC